This 301-nucleotide ribosomal RNA is filed under the name uncultured bacterium. RNAcentral describes it as "partial 16S ribosomal RNA". It matches the Rfam family "Bacterial small subunit ribosomal RNA", at positions 509 to 807 of the family's 1533-position model. The record is from RNAcentral.
CAGCAGCCGCGGCAAUACAGAGGGUGCAAGCGUUAAUCGGAAUUACUGGGCGUAAAGCGCGCGUAGGUGGUUUGUUAAGUUGGAUGUGAAAGCCCCGGGCUCAACCUGGGAACUGCAUCCAAAACUGGCAAGCUAGAGUACGGUAGAGGGUGGUGGAAUUUCCUGUGUAGCGGUGAAAUGCGUAGAUAUAGGAAGGAACACCAGUGGCGAAGGCGACCACCUGGACUGAUACUGACACUGAGGUGCGAAAGCGUGGGGAGCAAACAGGAUUAGAGACCCCGGUAGUCCCUGUCUCUUAUAC